Molecule: transfer RNA, 70 nt
Filed under: Ovis aries (sheep)
Lineage: Eukaryota; Metazoa; Chordata; Mammalia; Artiodactyla; Bovidae
Rfam family: tRNA
About the family: Transfer RNA (tRNA) molecules are approximately 80 nucleotides in length.
Source: Rfam by way of RNAcentral
UCCAGGUGGCUCAGUGGUAAAGAAUCUGCCUGCAAUGCAGAAGACCCGGGUUCGAUCCCUGGAUCAGGAA